Molecule: non-coding RNA, 2214 nt
Organism: Chrysemys picta bellii (western painted turtle)
Lineage: Eukaryota; Metazoa; Chordata; Testudines; Emydidae
Source: RefSeq, a predicted model, not a curated record
ACACACAGGCUGGGAGAGCGCGUGCGUCCCCGCUCGCGCAAGGGCGAGAGAGAGAGAGGGAGGGGUAGCUUGAGUUUCCUUCCUCACUCCCACCGAGACCUCCCCCUCCCCAAGCCGAGUGCGCGAGCCCAGAAGGGAGCCGGCGCUCGCUCGCUCGCUCGCGCGCGACUCGGGAGCGAGUUGGCUGCGCGGACGCGCGCCGGGCGGGCGCGAGGCCAGAGGCGGGAGGCGCAAAGGGGCUGCUGCUCCCUCCCUUGGGACACCGCGCGCGCGCGCCCGCCCGCCCCCUCGCGCUCUGCGGGGAGGGGAUCCGGAGGGGGGGGAGACUUGGGGUGUUUUAUAUAUUUUUUGGGGGUGGGUGGGGGCUGAGGUAACCGCCGCGGUGGAGCGCGAGAGCCGUUGAGGGGCAAGAACAGCCACCCUGUCCCCGCCCCGGCAGGGAAGGCUCCCGGGGGCCAGCGGGGAUGUGGUGAGAGGGAGGCGCCCGGAGUCGGAGGGCAGCCUCGCCUCGGAGCCCGCGCUCCGCCGCCCCAGUGCAAGUGUGGACACCACUCUUCAUUUCAUCACUUUAAUUGGCCUGCAGGAGGUGUCCCACAAUGCCCAAUGUCCUGACCGCUCUGAUCAGCACUUUGAACUCCACUGCCCUGCAGCCAGAUGUGGCCUUCAGGAACACCCCAUGCACCCCGACCGAGCGUCUCUGCCAGAUAAGAAAGUGCCCAAGACACAGCAAAGAAGACAUGUUCCGGGAAGUCCUGCAGUGCUCCAAUGCAGAAAAAAGGGAGUGAAAGGCAUGCUGGGAAGCCAAACGGCGGGACAGAAAGGAGAAUCACGUGUUUGUUAAGGAUGCUUCUGAGCAGAUGCUUAAAGUAAUGGAGGAGCAAACACAGAUGCUGAAGUCCGUAAUAAUGCUGCAGACCGAGCAGAUUAGUGCUCGACCUCCACUGCAGCACAUUCAGAACUCUUUUCCAUGCCCCCCACAAACUCUGCCUUCACAUUCCUUUCCACCUUCCGGGACUUUUCGGUUUCCCCUUCACUCAUCCCACUCAGACAACUUUCACAAUGGUAGCUGGAACCUACACACAGCUGUGAUAGUCUGCCCUCUCCUGGUUCCUCCUUUCCCGUCAAGCAUCUGUGUGUUUGUGUGUGCUGUUUCUUGUGCAAUAAAAGCAAACUUUUAUAAUGGUAAAUCAUCUUUAAUUUUCUUCUACAAGGUGAGAUUGCAGGCAUCACCAAUAUAUGCACAUGCAUUUUAAUCACUUUAUUGCAGGAAUAUAAGGCCACAAAUGUCAUCAUUGCCCCAUAGGAAAACUACGUGUAAUAUUACAUUGAAACAACUCAGACAGAGAUAUGUUACUGGUGGUCAUUAUCAAAGUGCUGCCUCAAACCCUCCCUGAUGUGAAUAGCUCCCCUCUGGGCUCCUCUGACAGCCCUGGUAUCUGACCACUCAAAAUCAGUGGCCAAGCAGUCUGCCUCGGCACUCCACCCCUGAGCAAACCUUUCACCCUUAGCUUCACAGAGAUUAUGCAACGUACAGCACGCGGCUAUGACCAUAGGAAUAUUAUCCUCAGUGAGGUCCAACCUGCCAUAAAAGUAUCGCCAGCGAGCCUUUAAUCUGCCAAAGGCAUAUUCAACUGUCAUUCGGCACCUACUGAGCCCGUUGUUGAACUGCUCCUUACUGCUGUCCAGGUGUCCUGUGUAAGGUUUCAUGAGCCGUGGCUGUAAGAGGUAUCGCAGGGUCCCUCAGGUUCACUAUUGGCAUUUCAACACCUCCCACUGUAAUCUUCUGAUUAGGAAAGAAAGUCUCUGCUGGUGUUCCUGAAGAUGCAUGUGUCAUGGACCUUCCCAGAUCACCCUGCGUUGAUGUCAGUGAAACACCCACGGUGAUCCACAAGUGCCUGUAACUCCAUGGAGAAGUACUCCUUCCUAUUGAUUUACUCCAUUGCAAGGUGGUCUGGUGCCAAAAUUGGAAUAUGUGUGCCAUCUAUCACCCCUCCACAAUUAGGGAAACGCAUUUCUGCAAAGUCAUCCACUAUUUCACACACGUUUCCCAAAGUCAUAGUCCUUCAUAGCAGGAUGCGAUUUAUUGUCCUGAACACUUGCAUUAACGUGGUUGGGUCAUUACAAAACCUAAACCUAAUUUCCCCAAUACUAAGUUCCCCCUACUGUUACUUACACCUUCUUGUCAACUGUCUGAAAUAGGCCACUCUCAUUACC